ACACCCGUUCCCAUUCCGAACACGGAAGUUAAGCUCUUCAGCGCCGAUGGUAGUUGGGGGAUCUCCCCCUGUGAGAGUAGGACGCCGCCAAGC
This 93-nucleotide ribosomal RNA is filed under the name Peribacillus cavernae. Lineage: Bacteria; Bacillati; Bacillota; Bacilli; Caryophanales; Bacillaceae. The record is from RNAcentral.